RNAcentral lists this ribosomal RNA (502 nucleotides) under uncultured bacterium. RNAcentral describes it as "bacterial SSU rRNA". It matches the Rfam family "Bacterial small subunit ribosomal RNA", at positions 94 to 576 of the family's 1533-position model. The record is from RNAcentral.
AGUGGCGCACGGGUGAGUAACGCGUGGAUAAUCUACCCUUAAGAUGGGGAUAACGGCUGGAAACGGUCGCUAAUACCGAAUACGCUCCCGAUUUUAUCAUUGGGGGGAAAGAUGGCCUCUGCUUGCAAGCUAUCGCUUAAGGAUGAGUCCGCGUCCCAUUAGCUAGUUGGCGGGGUAACGGCCCACCAAGGCGACGAUGGGUAGCCGGUCUGAGAGGAUGACCGGCCACACUGGAGCUGGAACACGGUCCAGACUCCUACGGGAGGCAGCAGUGGGGAAUAUUGCGCAAUGGGCGAAAGCCUGACGCAGCGACGCCGCGUGAGGGAUGAAGGUUCUCGGAUCGUAAACCUCUGUCAGGGGGGAAGAAACCCCCUCGUGUGAAUAAUGCGAGGGCUUGACGGUACCCCCAAAGGAAGCACCGGCUAACUCCGUGCCAGCAGCCGCGGUAAUACGGAGGGUGCAAGCGUUAAUCGGAAUCACUGGGCGUAAAGCGCACGUAUGC